UAUUACUACCACUGUUUGAAGCUUUGAGCGU
Molecule: non-coding RNA, 31 nt
Filed under: Homo sapiens (human)
Lineage: Eukaryota; Metazoa; Chordata; Mammalia; Primates; Hominidae
Source: RNAcentral